RNAcentral lists this ribosomal RNA (642 nucleotides) under uncultured bacterium. Its description in RNAcentral is "bacterial SSU rRNA". It matches the Rfam family "Bacterial small subunit ribosomal RNA", at positions 202 to 842 of the family's 1533-position model. The record is from RNAcentral.
AAAGGAGCGAUCCGGUGACGGAUGGGCAUGCGUGACAUUAGCUAGUCGGCGGGGUAACGGCCCACCGAGGCGACGAUGUCUAGGGGUUCUGAGAGGAAGGUCCCCCACACUGGUACUGAGACACGGACCAGACUCCUACGGGAGGCAGCAGUGAGGAAUAUUGGUCAAUGGGCUUACGCCUGAACCAGCCAAGUCGCGUGAGGGAAGACUGCCCUAUGGGUUGUAAACCUCUUUUGUCAGGGAGCAACGCCGGCUACGUGUAGCCGGACUGAGAGUACCUGAAGAAAAAGCAUCGGCUAACUCCGUGCCAGCAGCCGCGGUAAUACGGAGGAUGCGAGCGUUAUCCGGAUUUAUUGGGUUUAAAGGGUGCGUAGGCGGAAUGCCAAGUCAGCGGUAAAAUCGCGGGGCUCAACCUCGCUCCGCCGUUGAAACUGGCGUUCUUGAGUGGGCGAGAAGUAUGCGGAAUGCGUGGUGUAGCGGUGAAAUGCAUAGAUAUCACGCAGAACUCCGAUUGCGAAGGCAGCAUACCGGCGCCCAACUGACGCUGAAGCACGAAAGCGUGGGUAUCGAACAGGAUUAGAUACCCUGGUAGCCCACGCAGUAAACGAUGAAUACUAGCUGUUCGGGGCAAAUGAGCCUUGA